This 253-nucleotide ribosomal RNA is filed under the name uncultured bacterium. RNAcentral's name for it is "partial 16S ribosomal RNA". It matches the Rfam family "Bacterial small subunit ribosomal RNA", at positions 524 to 776 of the family's 1533-position model. The record is from RNAcentral.
UCCGUAGGGCGCAAGCGUUGUCCGGAAUCAUUGGGCGUAAAGCGCGCGUAGGUGGCCCCAUAAGUCCGCUGUGAAAGUCCAGGGCUCAACCCUGGGAUGCCGGUGGAUACUGUCGGGCUCGAGUCCGGAAGAGGAGUGUGGAAUUCCUGGUGUAGCGGUGAAAUGCGCAGAUAUCAGGAGGAACACCAAUGGCGAAGGCAGCACUCUGGGACGUGACUGACGCUGAGACGCGAAAGCGUGGGGAGCAAACAGG